UUUGGGGAAGCGGGUAAGGAAUUGAGUGCUUACUCUGUCAGGUCCGAAAGGAAGCAGCAGGAGUGCUUUGGUUCUUGUAGCCGGUUCCCCAUCUGU
Molecule: signal recognition particle RNA, 96 nt
Filed under: Candidatus Dependentiae bacterium HGW-Dependentiae-1
Lineage: Bacteria
Description: signal recognition particle sRNA small type
Rfam family: Bacterial small signal recognition particle RNA
About the family: The signal recognition particle (SRP) is a universally conserved ribonucleoprotein involved in the co-translational targeting of proteins to membranes.
Source: RNAcentral